UUGUUGGUAAGGUAAAAGCUUACCAAGGCUUCGAUCAGUAGCUGGUCUGAGAGGACGACCAGCCACACUGGGACUGAGACACGGCCCAGACUCCUACGGGAGGCAGCAGUGGGGAAUUUUGGACAAUGGGGGCAACCCUGAUCCAGCCAUGCCGCGUGAGUGAAGAAGGCCUUCGGGUUGUAAAGCUCUUUCAGCCGGAACGAAACGGUUACGGUUAACACCCGUGACUACUGACGGUACCGGAAGAAGAAGCACCGGCUAACUACGUGCCAGCAGCCGCGGUAAUACGUAGGGUGCGAGCGUUAAUCGGAAUUACUGGGCGUAAAGCGUGCGCAGGUGGUUUUGUAAGUCAGAUGUGAAAGCCCCGGGCUCAACCUGGGAACUGCGUUUGAAACUACAAGACUAGAGUGUGGCAGAGGGGGGUGGAAUUCCGCGUGUAGCAGUGAAAUGCGUAGAGAUGUGGAGGAACACCGAUGGCGAAGGCAGCCCCCUGGGUCAACACUGACGCUCAGGCACGAAAGCAUGGGGAGCAAACAGGAUUAGAUACCCUGGUAGUCCAUGCCCUAAACGAUGUAACUAGUUGUCGGGCCUUUACGGGCUUGGUAACGUAGCUAACGCGUGAAGUUGACCGCCUGGGGAGUACGAUCGCAAGAUUAAAACUCAAAUGAAUUGACGGGGACCCGCACAAGCGGUGGAUUAUGUGGAUUAAUUCGAUGCAACGCGAAAAACCUUACCUACCCUUGACAUGUAUCGAAGCCCGCAGAAAAGCGGGGGUGCCCGAAAGGGAACGAUAACACAGGUGCUGCAUGGCUGUCGUCAGCUCGUGUCGUGAGAUGUUGGGUUAAGUCCCGCAACGAGCGCAACCCUUGUCAUUAAUUGCCAUCAUUUAGUUGGGCACUUUAAUGAGACUGCCGG
RNAcentral lists this ribosomal RNA (915 nucleotides) under uncultured bacterium. RNAcentral's name for it is "bacterial SSU rRNA". It matches the Rfam family "Bacterial small subunit ribosomal RNA", at positions 246 to 1155 of the family's 1533-position model. The record is from RNAcentral.